RNAcentral lists this ribosomal RNA (479 nucleotides) under uncultured bacterium. Its description in RNAcentral is "partial 16S ribosomal RNA". It matches the Rfam family "Bacterial small subunit ribosomal RNA", at positions 28 to 507 of the family's 1533-position model. The record is from RNAcentral.
GAUGAACGCUGGCGGCGUGCUUAACACAUGCAAGUCGAGCGAGAAGUUUUGAAAAGAUUCUUCGGAUGAAAUUUAAAAUGGAAAGCGGCGGACGGGUGAGUAACGCGUAGGCAACCUGCCCCAUACAAAGGGAUAGCAUUUGGAAACGAAUAUUAAUACCUUAUGAAACUUAACUAGUGCAUGCUAGGUAGGUCAAAGAUUUAUCGGUAUGGGAUGGGCCUGCGUCUGAUUAGCUAGUUGGUGAGGUAACGGCUCACCAAGGCGACGAUCAGUAGCCGACCUGAGAGGGUGAACGGCCACAUUGGAACUGAGACACGGUCCAAACUCCUACGGGAGGCAGCAGUGGGGAAUAUUGCACAAUGGGGGAAACCCUGAUGCAGCAACGCCGCGUGAACGAUGAGGGCCUUUGGGUCGUAAAGUUCUGUUCUAGGUGAUGAAAACUGACAGUAACCUAGGAGAAAGCCCCGGCUAACUCCGUG